AGGGUUUGAUCAUGGCUCAGAACGUACGCUGGCGGCACGCCUAAUACAUGCAAGUCGAACGAAGUAGCAAUACUUAGUGGCAGACGGGUGAGUAACAUGUAGGUAUCUACCCUUUGGCCUGGAAUAACACGAGGAAACUUGUGCUAAUACCGGAUAAGUCUUUACGGAGAAAGCUUUAUGCACCAUUGGAUGAGCCUGCACUUGAUUAGUUUGUUGGUGGGGUAAUGGCCUACCAAGACAAUGAUCAAUAGCUGAUUUGAGAGGAUGAUCAGCCACAUUGGGACUGAGACACGGCCCAAACUCCUACGGGAGGCAGCAGUAGGGAAUCUUGCACAAUGGAGGAAACUCUGAUGCAGCGAUGCCGCGUGAGUGAAGAAGGCCUUUGGGUUGUAAAGCUCUUUCGUCGGGGAAGAAAAUGACUGUACCCGAAUAAGAAGGUCCGGCUAACUUCGUGCCAGCAGCCGCGGUAAUACGAAGGGACCUAGCGUAGUUCGGAAUUACUGGGCUUAAAGAGUUCGUAGGUGGUUAAAAAAGUUGGUGGUGAAAUCCCAGAGCUUAACUCUGGAACUGCCAUCAAAACUUUUUAGCUAGAGUAUGAUAGAGGAAAGCAGAAUUUCUAGUGUAGAGGUGAAAUUCGUAGAUAUUAGAAAGAAUACCGAUUGCGAAGGCAGCUUUCUGGAUCAUUACUGACACUGA
Molecule: ribosomal RNA, 696 nt
Filed under: uncultured bacterium
Lineage: Bacteria
Description: bacterial SSU rRNA
Rfam family: Bacterial small subunit ribosomal RNA
Source: RNAcentral